GACGAACGCUGGCGGCGUGCUUAACACAUGCAAGUCGCACGGUGAAAGCGGAGCUUGCUCCGCUGGAUCAGUGGCGAACGGGUGAGUAACACGUGGGCAACCUGCCCCUGACUUCGGGAUAACUCCUCGAAAGAGGUGCUAAUACCGGAUACGAAUCCUGCAGGCAUCUGCGGGAUUGGAAAGUUUUUCGGUCAGGGAUGGGCCCGCGGCCUAUCAGCUUGUUGGUGAGGGAGUGGCUCACCAAGGCGACGACGGGUAGCCGACCUGAGAGGGGGGCCGGCCAGAAUGGGACUGAGACACAGCCCAGACUCCUACGGGAGGGAGCAGUGGGGAAUAUUGCGCAAUGGGCGAAAGCCUGACGCAGCAACGCCGCGUGAGGGAUGACGGCCUUCGGGUUGUAAACCUCUUUCAGCAGGGAAGAAGCGAAAGUGACGGUACCUGCAGAAGAAGCACCGGCUAACUACGUGCCAGCCGCCGCGGUAA
This 483-nucleotide ribosomal RNA is filed under the name uncultured bacterium. RNAcentral's name for it is "partial 16S ribosomal RNA". It matches the Rfam family "Bacterial small subunit ribosomal RNA", at positions 28 to 523 of the family's 1533-position model. The record is from RNAcentral.